CAGACCAAAGGGCGCGAGAAGGAGACUAGGAGAAGAACAUCGUAGGUAAGAGUGAAACGGCAACGCGGAGAAAAAGAGGUAACAGGGGCAAGAAGAGAGGACCAAACUACGAAAGACGAACGGUCUAAGACCCAGCUGAGUUGGUGUAGAGAAUAGGCGGCGUCGAAAAAGCGAGAUAGAGUUCGAGAGGUCUGUAUCUCUGCGUACGACAGAGCGAGACGAUGCUAGGGAAGCUCUCGGCAAGGGGGACAAAGACAUCGCUAGAAACAGCUGACUACCGGAAUUCGUGGUUCCGGAGGGGACGACGUGAGGGACCUCGAGGAACUGUUGUUACCAGGACUCGAUGCCGGGUCGCCGCCUACGAGACCACCGUAGCUACCAACCCGCGUCCCUUCUGGAGUGCACGCCGAAGGACGGACCACCGAAUUGCUCUGACUGUUCGACCCCGAGGUCGCUGACUGCCAAACGUCCUUGACGGCCGCGGCUGCCAUCACCGCAGCGUAACCAUUCUGAUGCGCCGAUGCUUGAUCUUGUUGCUUACAGUCCUUGGUUGCUGUGGUCGAAUAGGAAGAGGUGGUGUGUCCGGUCGCCUCCGGUGUCGAGGAGUAAAGUUUGCAGGCCGUCGCGACGCUCGCGUCGUACGGCGAAUCUUGAGGUGGUCUCGUGUUCGUACCUCCGCCUGGAUGUAUGCCCAACGACGAGGACGUGUGAUGAUGAUGCUGCGUAGAUGCGUAAGGUGACAUACCCAGACCGAGAGGGAAACCUCGAUAGGCCGCGGCUGUGGCGGGAUCAUGAUGUUGACUGGCGGCUCCUGUCUGAUGGUGGUGACUUCCGUAGAAGCCACCCGCAGUCUGCUCAAACCACCGAAACUAGAUAAGAAAACGACGAAGAUCCACCGGAUCGGAAGAAGCACGAAGAGAAGUCGAGGAGAGGAUCGCCGAGACGCGAGGAAAUAAAAGGGUCGAAAACGGCGGAUAACCGAUGGCAUCGGAAAGAGACGAAUACACGUUGCCGCUACGUUGGGGUGUAAGAG
Molecule: unclassified non-coding RNA, 1033 nt
Filed under: Bombus terrestris (buff-tailed bumblebee)
Lineage: Eukaryota; Metazoa; Arthropoda; Insecta; Hymenoptera; Apidae
Description: misc RNA ENSBTSG00005035838.1
Source: RNAcentral